Long non-coding RNA from Penaeus monodon (black tiger shrimp), 176 nucleotides. RefSeq lists it as uncharacterized. The transcript has 3 exons. The record is from RefSeq and is a predicted model, not a curated record. NCBI's taxonomy places the organism in Eukaryota, Metazoa, Arthropoda, Malacostraca, Decapoda, Penaeidae.
CUUGUUUCAAAAUAUAAAAGGCCAAGAAGACGGUUGUUCGUCAGACACAAGUCGAAGAUGAGGUCGAAUACAUUCUUUGUUGUGCUGGCCCUGGGGUUAGCCCUUGUUGCAGCCAAAGAGGACUUGCGAAGCGAACGCAGCGUUACGGCAGAUAACACCUUACUCGAAGUAGUGAA